CCUACGGGGUGCAGCAGUGAGGAAUAUUGGUCAAUGGCCGGAAGGCUGAACCAGCCAUGCCGCGUGAAGGUCAGUGCCCUAUGGGCGUUAAACUUCUUUUGUGCGGGAGCAAUAAUGGUCACUUGUGGCCAGACGAGAGUACCGUACGAAUAAGCAUCGGCUAACUCCGUGCCAGCAGCCGCGGUAAUACGGGGGAUGCAAGCGUUAUCCGGAUUUAUUGGGUUUAAAGGGUGCGUAGGCUGUGAGGUAAGUCAGCGGGGAAAUGCCCCCGCUCAACGGGGUGAAGUGCCAUUGAUACUGCCUUGCUGGAGUGCGGAUGAGGUGGGAGGAAUGUGUGGUGUAGCGGUGAAAUGCAUAGAUAUCACACAGAACACCGAUUGCGAAGGCAUCUCACGAAUCCGCGAUUGACGCUGAUGCACGAAAGCGUGGGUAUCAAACAGGAUUAGAUACCCCAGUAGUC
RNAcentral lists this ribosomal RNA (460 nucleotides) under uncultured bacterium. RNAcentral describes it as "partial 16S ribosomal RNA". It matches the Rfam family "Bacterial small subunit ribosomal RNA", at positions 338 to 795 of the family's 1533-position model. The record is from RNAcentral.